AUUGAACGCUGGCGGCAGGCCUAACACAUGCAAGUCGGACGGUAGCACAGAGGGGCUUGCUCCUCGGGUGACGAGUGGCGUACGGGUGAGUAAUGUCUGGGGAUCUGCCCGAUAGAGGGGGAUAACCACUGGAAACGGUGGCUAAUACCGCAUAACGUCGCAAGACCAAAGAGGGGGACCUUCGGGCCUCUCACUAUCGGAUGAACCCAGAUGGGAUUAGCUAGUAGGCGGGGUAACGGCCCACCUAGGCGACGAUCCCUAGCUGGUCUGAGAGGAUGACCAGCCACACUGGAACUGAGACACGGUCCAGACUCCUACGGGAGGCAGCAGUGGGGAAUAUUGCACAAUGGGCGCAAGCCUGAUGCAGCCAUGCCGCGUGUAUGAAGAAGGCCUUCGGGCUGUAAAGUACUUUCAGCGGGGAGGAAGGCGAUGUGGUUAAUAACCGCAUUGAUUGACGUUACCCGCAGAAGAAGCACCGGCUAACUCCGUGCCAGCCGCCGCCGUAA
This 506-nucleotide ribosomal RNA is filed under the name uncultured bacterium. RNAcentral's name for it is "partial 16S ribosomal RNA". It matches the Rfam family "Bacterial small subunit ribosomal RNA", at positions 29 to 523 of the family's 1533-position model. The record is from RNAcentral.